UUGUUAAUCUAAUAUUGUCACCCUUCUCAUUUCCCUUGCAGUGUUGGUUUGUUUUCAAAUCGUUGCGUUAUUUGGGAUUGUAUUUGCAUCGUAAGAGGAUCAUCAUCAUCUAAUGCAAGAAAAAGACGUCGAGGGAAAACAAAGAAUAAAAUACUAACAUCUUUGGCUCCUGGUCAAAAAUUGCCAUUGGAAUUCAAUAAUUAUGGUCAAGCCAUUGGAUCAAAUGCUAAUGUGUUUGCAAGUCAUAUUGGCAAGAUUGUUAAAGUAUGUGAAGAUGCACCAAUUUCUUGCAAGCGUUGGGAAGAUGUUCCACAAGACAAUAAGAAUAAAAUGUAUUCUUAUGUGCUGGUAAGAUUAAUAAUUAUUCUAUAUUAUACUUAUAUGAUAUUGUAUUAAAUCGUUCUUCAUGACUUAUAACGUUUCAAACAACUUUUUCUUUUAACUUGUGUAGGAGAAAUUUGAAUUUGAUGAGAACGAAAUAAGAAAAAAUUGGAUCUUUAGAAAGAUGGGAAGGGCUUUUGCAAACCAUAGAUAUAAGUUGAAGGCUAACUAUUAUGAUGCAUAUGACAAUGAUGAUGAUCGAAUUAAGUUUGCUCCAACAACAGUCGACCAAGGACAAUGGAGACAAUUUGUCAGUUGGUUGAGCUCACAUGAGUUUCAGGUUUCUUGUGCUCGUAAUAAGUCUAAUCGGUCAAAGCAAACAAUGACUAAAACUACAGGCACUAGAAGUUUUGCUCGAGUUAGAGCUGAACAGUCUGAAAUAUUAGGACACGAACCGUCUGCAUGGGAAAUGUUCAAGGUGACACACAAGAAAAAAGACGGGUCAAUGGUUGAUUCCACAUCAAAAGAAAUAGUGGUAAAUUUUAUUUUAAACAGUUUAUGUUGUUAUUGUGAUAUAUAUUUUAGUAUUUUGUUAUAACAUAUCUAUUUUAUUUAUUAUCUAAUUUCAGGAAAAAAUUCAAUCUUUAGUAACCCAAAGAGCUGAGGAAGAACCUUCUCAAGCUAUUGAUGAAAAUGAAUUUUUUUUUGAAGUAAUGGGAAGAGAAAGACAUGGACGUGUUCGUGGGUAUGGAUUCGGACCAACUCCUUCUUCUGUCCUUGGAAAGAUUCAAUCUCGUCAUGAGCUUGUUACAGAACUAGAACAAAUGCGACAGCAUAAUAAUGGUUUGAAAAAUGAAAUGCAACUUUUGAAAGAGAAAAAUGAAGCGUUAUCGACAGAAUUGGACCAAGUCAAAGAAAGGCAAUCAAUUUUUGAAGCUUUUAUGGAAGAUGUUAG
Long non-coding RNA from Diospyros lotus (date-plum), 1276 nucleotides. RefSeq lists it as uncharacterized. NCBI's taxonomy places the organism in Eukaryota, Viridiplantae, Streptophyta, Magnoliopsida, Ericales, Ebenaceae. The record is from RefSeq and is a predicted model, not a curated record. The transcript has 4 exons.